This 21749-nucleotide long non-coding RNA is filed under the name Citrus maxima (pomelo). RNAcentral's name for it is "long non-coding RNA (CMAX_LNC000174)". The record is from RNAcentral. Lineage: Eukaryota; Viridiplantae; Streptophyta; Magnoliopsida; Sapindales; Rutaceae.
UGGUUUCUUCGUUUAUGAAUUAAAUAGAGUUGAAAACAGAUACAUACACUUAUACGGUUUCGGUUACAUAUAUUUCUAUGCAAUGAUCGAUACACUAUACUGAUGAACACAUGAAAUCUAGCUAGCUGUUAUUGGCCUUUAAUCGACCGCCCCCAUUUAUAUUCAAUUCUAUGAUACCUACACCUGAAGGACCCCGGAUGGCUGGUGGGUGAACAUACACAUACCCUUGUUGUUUUAGCGUCACCACCAUCAGAUACCGUUUGUUGGCUACCUGUCACCCUUGCCUGCGCCGCUCUGAGCUGCAGAAACCGCCUUCGUUCUUGAUUACUAGCACUAAGCAAAGGAUCAAAACUUGGGCGACACAUUUUUUUUUUUUGGGGCACUUUUUCUUAAUGUUUGAGGUCUGAAGAAGAAGUUAUCUAGGUUGUAUUCUUAUAGAAGAAGAAAGCAAGAAAAAGGAGUGUAAAGUGGCAAAGAAAGAGAAGUUAAACCUUGUAAGUUAUAUUAACAAAAAAGUUCGGGUUUAUUCUUUAUGAAAGUUGUUGUCUUGUUAGCCUUUUAUUGGGUGGUGGGCUAUCUUGAGUGUCGUUUUAUUACUUAAUCUCUUGUUCAAGAUAAUUUUGUAAUCUCCUUUUUCAAUUUAAUAUAUUUUUAGAUUCAUAUAAAAAAAUUAAAAUUAAAAUUAAAAUUAAAUAAAACAAAAGGAGAGAGAGGCAGAUGAUAUUUUCCCAAAAACAGAGUAGACCAAUUUUUAAUUGUGCAAGGUGUGCGCAUCAUCAAUAUUCUCAUUAUGUAGUUCAAGCAACAAACCCAUCUAACUUUAUAAACCAAAAUUCAAUUUCAAUUCAUAGUCCCUUGAAACAUUUAACAUAUCAUUUAAUCCAACCUCAAAGUUCUAGAAUAAACAAAUGGGCACCAAAAAAUAAAUAAAUAAAUAAAAUAUACCAUCACAUGUCACAUAACUUCAAGGUCAAUAAAUUCUGGCAUUACCGUCAGAUUUUAUUACAAAUAAAGUUAACCCCCAUUAUAGUAAAUAAUCAAAAUUAUUAAUUUUUAUCACCCAAUUGGAUUACUUUUUAAAAUAAUCCUUCUAUAUAUACGACUUUAUAGGAUAUGACUCUGAAAGCUUGUACAGAUUCCCUCAUAGAUAGCACAGUGGGUGCAUGCACUUUGACUUCUCUAACAAAACGUUCCGAAAACAUCCACAACAACCAUUCUCAUUUCUCCUCUCUGAGUAUGGACCUCAACGGUUGGUGCAACUCUGGCAAUCAAAACAUGUGCUGCUGCCAAAGCUAUGUGAAAAGGGGCUAUGAUCGGGUUCUUUCAUUUAACGGAUUGAUUACCGGAUCAAAGACUCCGCGGUGGAGGUUACUAUGGAGGAAGAUCAAGAGAGACAAGAAGAGGAUUUUUGAUUGUUCAUCAGGUGGUACUGAUGUACACGUGCCGUAUGAUCCUUGCACGUACUCACAGAACUUUGAUCAGGGGUACGAGUGGGCUGAUCCGGAUAACGCCUCGCGAUCCUUUUCAGCACGAUUUGCUGUUCCUUCGAGGGUUUUUCAGAAGAGUGAAUUGGCUGCUUGAUAUUGCAAGACCAAUAUGUGAACAAGAAAACGGUGUGUUUCUUUCUUUCUUUUUCUUUUUUUCCUCUUCUUUAAAUUUUGUGUGACAGUUGUUCUUGAUGACUAUUUAUCAGUAAUUUUGUAGUUUCAAUGUUAAUUAGAUAUAUAGAAUGUCUCCUCAUCGCCAUCUUCUUCUUCUUCUUCUCUUGGAUCACAAGUAACUGAAGAUGCUUUAACAGUAACUUGAGCUUCUAUAACAGUUGCUUGAAGUAAUUAAUUAAUUUCUUGCAAGCUCAAGGGAAUGCACAUGAAUUGAUUUAUUUUCUUCAGAUUUAAACAAUAUUAAUUAUGAUAAUAGUUUAUGUUGAUGAAUGAUGAUAAGUAUUCCAAUCUUCACGCCGACAAUAUGUUAUUGUUACUAUUAUCUUGCAGCUUGAAGCAACGACUUACUAGAAUAUAUGAAAUGAGCUUAGGCAGUUGAAAACUGAAAUGCAUUAGCUUUCUUAGGGCUAGAUGAGGCAAAAAAAAUUAUUGGUACAAUUAGAAUAAUGAACCCUUAAUGCUGUAGUUAUGCUGCUUAAAAAAAAAUUAAAAAGUAUAUUGAUCUAGUGGUCCUGAGCCUACUGCAGUGUAUGGGGCACUAACCCAGCUGGUCUUCAAGAAGUUACUAUACAUACAAGCAUGUGCUGAACAAUAUUAUAAGCACAACUUCAAAUCAAAAUAAUAAAGGCAAAACUUUUUUAUUCUUCCACAGGGUUAAAUUCUUUUUAUUGAGUCCUAUAUAAGUUUUAGCUCCUGCUCGUCGGCCUUUAAGAAAUAGUCAAACAAUCUGAUCAUGCUGAACAGUCAUUUUCAUAGCACUCAUCUUUUACUCGCUCUUUUUUUUUUUUUGGGGGCAAUGCAGCUUAUCUUCAUUGGAUUCUUUUUGGUUAGUAGGGUCACUGUAUGUGAAAAGUGAUAUAUGCAAAUGAAUUUAUUAAUUCAUUUUUCCCAAGGACCCAUCCCUCUCCCCAUUGAAAUUUUUGAAAUUCAACUAGUAAAUCAGAAAUGUCUUUGAAAUUUCACAAGCAAGAAAUAUGGUCCACUAAGCACUUUUUUAAAGAAGUCAAAGAUUCAUCUGGCAAAAUGUCGGUUCAUUCCUUCCAUUGCAAGUCUCAUGAAAGUGUGUACGCAUUAUAUGAUGGAUAAAGUAGUGGCAUAAACAAAUUUAGUAUAAAAUUAAAAAUUAAGAAAAAAAGGGGGAUUUUUUGGAUCCAACCAACAACCAAUAACAAUUUCAUUGACUUAGUUAUUUAGUGGCUCAUUGAAUUUCAACAUCAUAAGGUAAAAUGUCAGUUCCUUAGUAACGCUUGUCACUAGUUGUACUUCCACAAGAGCAAUUAUGAAAUUGAUUGACUUGGAGUGGGAAAAUAAUAAUGCCCUGUGAAUUAAGUUAUGUGGGCAGAUAUGAUGAAGUCUUAACAAAUGAAUUUGCUUCAGAAAAUGGUUUAGCAGAAAAACUAGAAAAGAAAACAGUGAAAUCAUUCUCAAACACAAACAAUGGUUGAGAUAAGCUUCAAAACAAUAAAGAUGCUUACCAAACCUGCUUUUUGUCUGUUUUCAAGCCAAUGUCACCUCAAAACAAUCAACAAUGGAAUGCAAAGCGCCUUCGGAUUUCAAGUUACCAUUAAUUAGCUUCCCACAUUUUUGAUAAAGCAUUUUUUGUAGAGCCCACGUAUUAGAAUGCAGAAACAGGCAAUAUAAGCUUCUGGGCAAUUGCAAGAGCCAGCCAACAAGAUGUAGACACUUCUGCAGGUUUUCUAACUGUACUGAGUCCUUAGUUUUUAUGACUUCAACUACCUGCUUAAGAGCUUCUCCAUGUUCUACAUAAUACCAAGGCAACUAAAAGAAACAACUUCAUCUACUCUAACUAACAAUUAAAUGCAAAUCAUUAUCUGCCACAAUAUAAAUGAAGAGGACAAAAGAACUACAUUCAUGAAGUAAAACUCUUCAAUUCUGUUUUCUCCUAUUAGUUCUGCCUAGCUAUUAGAUUUCACAAUGAUUACCAAACACAAAAUAGUUCGUUUCUCAAAUGCAUCACAUGUACAAGACUAAUUAAACUGCACUGAAUGCAACCGGCAGCGUAAAUUUCUUUAGAGUCUUCAAAUUCUCACCCAUUCAAGCAAAUGUCACAUAAAGGACUCGUACAAUUGAACCAAAAGGAAAGCUUGGCUCUCCAGCCGACAUGUGCCUUAUAAACAUAAGUUAAAAUGCACAGGGCUUUUGGCAAUCAGAAUUUUCUGAGGGACUUUCUGCUCCGAGGGGCUUUCAUAAAUAACAUAAUCAACUUCCACAUUACGAUAAGUCACACAGUGGAAAAUUUCAUCUAAUGCCAUGUGAUGAUGUGAAACAUAUGUCACAAGAAGGAAGCAGUUACUAUGCGAUAUAACUUGUAAAAUUCUUCAUACUAAUUUUAUCGUAUUGGAGGUCCCCUUAGAUUUCACUGCAGCGACAGUCUGCCAGCAGUGACUUAAAUUUCUAGUUGCAAUAGAUAUACAAAAUAUCAAUUAAACACGCCAAUGCGCACGUAGCCCAUUGGCAAUCCAUGCGCCCAAAAAAUCUUGGGCGCAUGGGUUCUGGCUGGGACUCGACUCCUCUCUUAGUAGAGGUUUACUUGUUUCUCUGCAUUUGAGAUAAAAUAAAUCUCCCUCCAGUAUUAAAAGUGAUAAUAGAUUUCUCUCCAAUAUUAAGUGAGGGUCAGCCUUCGAGCUAUGUCAUAAUAGGAUUAUUAACGAAAGUCUCAAAUGAUUUCAAAUCAUAAAUAUCCGUAGACCUCUGAUUGUAAUAUAUCAGUAUAUAAAAAAAAAAAAAUCAAUUAAACACACUAUCUAUUCAAGUUUUGAUAUUGAUAACAGAAAAAAGCCUUGACUGGAAACUCAUAAACCAAAACGUCCAGUGAUUUGACAUAUGCACCCUGAAACUGAAUGAUUUUUGAACAUAACAUAGAAUAUCAAGCCCAUAAAUUCAGUGACAAAUAAAAAUCAACGGCUAUUAUUCAUUGCAAGAAAUUAUCAUGUUCUAUUCCAAGUACUGCUGCAUAAUUUAGGUAGCAAACUGUAGCCUCUCUGUUUAAUAACACGCAUUUGAUUUCAUGCAUAAAUAAUGUGUAAGCAAAACAAUUAAUACAUGUUUCAUUCAUAUACAAAAAACAACAUGUGGCAAAUCUAUUGCUGCAUUCGGGUUACCUGUGUGAAAAGAGAAAAAAAAGGAGCCAUUUAUAUAUACCAUCUUGAAUGGAAAUGCUGCAUCAUUCACUUCAUGUCAUUACUUAAGCAAAAUAGGAGCCUUUUUAUUUUCUAUAUAAUCAUAGAGAAAAUGGAGACAAUGGCAACUCCAAGAUUACAAAUCCGAGCAGAAUCUGGCAGACAAAAAAAAAAAGCAUAAUCAGAAUUGAACAAAUUUUUUUCUCAGCAAAUUGAGGGGUGACUGGAAUGAGUCAAAAUUUGAAAAUAAUUAUCUUACUACAAGGUCUAGGCUAAAGAGAAGCCACAGACGACAACCACAGUAUAAAUGCUGAAAUCUAUAAAAACUGCCCGGGCAGUCUGAUACACCACCAAGCUUCUUUCCAUUAGUUGAAUUGCUUGUGUCAUGUUAUUCCCAUCUUCCUGAGGUUCCACAUUUUCUUUCUCAGCUUCUUCAGACUGUUUUUGCUGCUUAAGAAACACUUGCGCAAGCACAAUUGUUACAUCAGUUAGCAAGAGAAUGUAAAGAGGCCUCAGGGCCUCAACACUCUCUGAGCUUACAAUAUUGAUUCCAAGUAGUGCAUCAUCAAUAUAAGACAGAACCACCAGAAGUGCUAUCAGGAGAGCACAUAAACUGCGAAUACCCUGAGACGCGAUAAUGCACGAGUUAAUUUGCUUGCAAGAGAAUAGAAUUGGUUUUGGUAGCAGCUCUGUGUCAUUUGAUGGCUUUUCAACUAUUGGCGCUGCCGGCAUUGGCUCUGGCUCUGGCUGUGACUUGGUGCUUUCAUCCGCAGCAGCAACUUCAUUAACGCUUUUGGCAUCAUAUUUGGGCACCUGAGGAUCAACUUUUCUUUCAUGUUUGGGCACUUGAGGUUCAACUUGUCUUCCAAUGUCAUAAGUUUUUUCCCUUGGAACAACUAGACUACUAUGUUUCAGCAAUUGAUGAGGACCAGAGGGAGUAAUUGGACCCUCAGUACCAGCUGCAGGGCCAAAGAAGCCAAAAGCAACUUUACAAACUUAAAAUUCGCAAAAGAAUGCAUCAAUUCGAUUACUACAAGUCCUACGCAGAAUCUAGAAGAUAGCAAUAGCCAGUACUAAACAAAUUAACCAGAGUUCCUCUGUUAAUCGGCAUGGUCCAUAACAACUUUCUUUAUAGUAAAAAAAAUACAAUGGGAAUUUACUCCCAAAAUGAAUUUGAACCAGACACCAAACCCAUCUAAGAUGAAAUUAGGUCAAACAUUCAACGAAAGAAUUAAACUAUGUCACACUCACAUUCUAAAAACUUCAGGAAAGAUUUGAAUCCCAACACCAUAAAAUGUCCAAAGGAUAUGUAAAGGAAAAUGAUGACAUUCAUGCAUGCAUUAUAUUGUCACGUAACGGAAAUGGAAUAAAGAAUGGAUGUGAGGUCACCGUUGCUUUGAUUAGAGAUGAGGCUUUGAAGAUGGUCAUGAUGAUCGCGGGUAAAGACUAAAGAUUGUGUUGAUAAAUGAGUGGUUGCAGCACGAUGAUGAUGAGGACUUGAUAUUGGAGACGAAGGGAGGCUCUGGAUUCGGCCGCUGAUGAGAGCUAGACGAUCCGAUCCUCUGUCUAAUAUUCUCUUUCUUCUUUCUUCUCUGCUACUGCCGGUAGCCAUCUUUUCUCUUCUUCUCCCAUGCAACUUACCACCAAUAUAAUACCUCUCUCUUUUUGCGCCUUUAGAAAUGCCCCUUCUGUUAUUCUAUUGAAUAAUAUUUUAGACUUGUAAAUUUUUAGAAAGGUUAGGGGCAUUUUUGUAAACGCGUGGGUAACCUAUUUCUAACUUAAUAGAUAAAAUUCGGGGUUUUUAAUUAAAUAUGCCUUAAAAGUAGUGUAUUUAGUUAAAUAUACCCCAUGUUUGAAAAUUAUCUAAGUAUGCCCUUUUAUGUGGUAUAUUGUCUAAAAUAUCCCUAAAGAAAAAUAUAAAACACACACAACUCACAACACUCUUUGCUUCUCACGUAUUUAUCACCUAUACAAAAACUCACACCACACUCAAAAUCACUCACAAACAGCUAAUGCACUGAGUUUGUUUGCAGCUGGGUGUAUUAUUCAUCCCAUGAAUAAGGUAUUUGAAACUUUUUUUAUUUUAUUUUGGGCUAUCUAUUCAAUUUGUUGACAUUAUAUUAUUUUUAGGGUUUUGUUUGGUUUGUGAUAAACACUAAAGCAACUCAUAUUUUCAUUACAUUUGCAUCAUAUGACUGUUAUUUGAUGGAUUUUAUAACUACAUUCGUUAAAAUCUAAAGUUGUUGUCAAAUUUUUUUCUGCACUCGACAUACACGACAGUAGUUGUGUAUGUAUGUAUUUACACGACUGUAGUCGUGAAAAUGUGCAAAAAAUUUCAAUUAUUAUGACACCUUAUCAUUCUAUUGGUUCAAAAAAUAUAUAUUUUUCACUAUAUAUAUAUCCUUUUACUAUUACUAGACUAUAGUCGUGUGUGUUAAUAAGUUACACGACUACUAGCGUGUACGUAUGAACUUACAUACUAUAAUUGUUAAUAAGUUACACGACUACUAUGAACCUUAUAUACUUGUUAUUUUUUGUUGUUUUAAUUUUUUUUAAUAUCUUUCAUAUUUAGUGAUAAAUUUCUACCUUUUUGUUUCGCAGAUGAAUAAACAUGUUUGUGUGACUUUCUAAGAACAAGUAUUGAAGGGAGGCGACCAGAGGCUUAUAAAAUAUGGACCGAGUGUUUUGGUUGAAUAUGCCAAAAAUUUAUGAUGAAUGUUAAACAACUUCUAUUGUAUUACGACUUAUUUACAAUUUCAAUAACUAUUGGAUUUGUGUUAUUUGAUAGGCAACCGGACUAUAGUUAGUUUCAUUUAUUUGAAGUUUGAUAUGUUUAAAAUCUAUAUUGAUUGUGUCAUCAAUAUAAUGAAUGAUUGAAAAGAAUUUUUAUUUUGUGCACAUACCCAAGUACAAUCGUGUAUUUUGGCUGUUACAAAACUGGUCAUGUUUAUUUCUAAAUACUCGACUACAGUCGUGUAUCUGUGCAAAUACCCGACUGUCACAGAGAGCUUGUCAUAUUUAUUUCUAAAUACUCGACCAUAGUCGUGUAUCUGUGCAAAUACUCGAUUGCAGUCGAGUAUUUUAUCACAGAGAGCUUGUCAUUUUUAUUUGUAAAUACCCGACUACAGUCGUGUAUCUGUGCAAAUACCCAACUGCAAUUGAGUAUUUUGUCACAGAGCUUCAUAUGUUUAUUUCCAAAUACCCGACCGCAGUCGUGUAUCUGUGCAAAUACCCGACCGCAGUCGUGUAUCUGUGCAAAUACCCGACUGCAGUCGAGUAUUUUAUCACAGCUUAUUAUGUUUAUUUCUAAAUACCCAACCGCAGUCGUGUAUCUGUGCAAAUACCCGACUGCAGUCGAGUAUUUUGUCACAGAGCUUCUUAUGUUUAUUUCCAAAUACCCGACCGCAGUCGUGUAUCUGUAAAAAUACCCGACUGCAGUCGAGUAUUUUGUCACAGCUUAUUAUGUUUAUUUUCAAAUACCCGACCGCAGUCGUGUAUCUGUGCAAAUACUCGACUGCAGUAGAGUAUUUUGUCACAGAGCAUAUUAUGUUUAUUUCCAAAUACCCGACCGCAGUCGUGUAUCUGUGCAAAUACCCGACUGCAGUCGUGUAUUCUCUUACAGUUUAUUCCCUGUGCAUAUAUUGUGCAAACUAUCUUAUCUAUCAUUAAUAUAAAUAACAAAGAAAUAAAAUAUAUUAAUGUUGUCAAUUGUUUUUAAUGACAUCAAAUAUCAACAACAUCCUCAUUACAACUAUUACAUCUCAUAAUCCAAAAAAUGAUACUACAAAGUUUUUUUCCAUGACCUAUGCCCAAAUAAUUUUACAACCAAGGCUUGUCGAAAUUGUGUAACAUGAUCUUCUUGGCAGUAUGAAUUGACAUCAAGUCCAUGGGCUAGGACCUCCAAGUACCGCAACAAAAAUGCUCCACAGUCACCACUAAAAAAAUUCAUAUAAAUCAAUUGUUAAAAAUCAUCAUUCUUAUUAUUAUGUUCAAAACACAUUAUAUAUAUAGUACAUACCCUGAUUUUUGUUGCAGGAUGUCACGCACUCGCACAAUGGGCCAAGGAAUUUUCGAAAUAACCUCACUACAGUCUGGAUGUGUUUCGUGAUAUGCUAUCUUUUGAAGUACUAGAGGUAUCAUGUCUGCAACAUGCAGCAAUUGUCUCACCAGUGUAACAAUACAACAACACGACAUCUUUAGAUUAUACUGUCUAUUGGACUGAGUAGCUAGAGAUAUUAAGGUUUAUCCUGUUUUCUAUUUCAUUGGUACCGUAUACACAAGAAUAAUUGUGCGACCACUUUAUUAAGCAUUUUAUAGGGUAUUUGGUCUUUCUAACAUCAUAAGUGGGUCUUUUGAAUGAGUUUUACCAAUUUUUUGAUCAAAUCUCUCUGCACAGACGAAGUAAGUUGAGAAGAAGGCCUGCUAUUCACCUUGUAUGAAAUAUGUGAAGUCACCCAGCCCCCAUAUAUGGCCACCGUGCAUAUCGGUUAUGAACUAUAAUUGAGUGUCAUAUUGCUAAGCUAAGGCUUGGUGUGUAGGUUUAUAAGUAUUCGGACUCCCGCACCUUACAAGCCAUUUUUUUGGAUGAAUUCUACCCGAUGUGUGUGCAAAACAAAUUGGAUGACAAUUAAUCAGAAAAUGAAUAUGUUAAAUCAAUUACUAGUCUAAUCGAGUGAAGCCUUAUUAUCUGACUUUUGCAAGAGAUGAAAAUUAAUGCAAGGUAAAAGACAAGCAUAAGCCUAAUCAAGUGAAGUCUUGUCAUCUGACUUUUACGAGAAAUGAAAAUUAAGCUUUUGGCACAAGACUUUGCACACAUUUCAAUACCAGCUGUAAAUGAUUUUUUCCAGAAAAAUCAAUAACUUGAGCUUUGAAGCUUUCAAAUUUUAUUUUACAUUAAAAUAAAAAAUUUGACUUUCUAAAAGUACCUGGAAGAGGAGACGCUGAAGCAGAGUGGGGGAAUUGCAGCUACUGGUUUGUAGAGAGGCGAGAGUGUGUAGAAGAAUAGUUGUAAAAUGACAGGGAUUUGUAAAAUGGAGGAGGAGAAAUCCAGAAGAACGGGCUGAAGAAGAAGUUGCUCAUGAGAAAAAAUUAGGGAUUUUGUUACACGAUUGGUUGUGGUAGUUUAGUUGAUUUAGAUUUUUCAUUAGGGUAAUUUCAUAACUGCAUAUUAGAAAAGGCAUAUACGAGGAAUAUUUGAGUAUGGGGUAUUUUUAGAUAAAUACCUUUUUUUUGGGGUAUACCACGGACAAAUCCCUGAUAAAAUUCAGUUUGAGUUAAGAAGUUUUAGAAGAGCGAAGUCGUGCGGUUUAGAGGCGAGAGAGAGCGAGACUGAAGUUCUUCACCAUCAACUUUCAUUUUCGUCGGCAGUUCGUGGGUAUCUCGCUGGUAUAGACGAAACGAGCAUCAAAACCUAAGAUUGAAGAUUAGUUAAUCAUGGAGCUUUGAACUUAUUAGUUUUAAUAAUUUACCGUGAAAAAAAAGAAAUUAGGACUUGUAAAAUUCAAAAUUGAGGAUGCUACUUUAUGAUAAUAAAGAUUGUUGUUUUGCUCUUGAUAACUUCGUUUACCUUAAAAACACAUGACAGCAGAGUAAGAACAUUAACAAAAAUAAUUUCUAUCGAAGUUUCAGACUUGCAGAUUUAUAGACUUGCCAAAAAGCUUAGAAAUCGAGAACACGACUAGAACAAUCUAAGAAACUCUAAUACUGCAAGAUCAGGCACAAUGAAAUUCACCACACACAUGGCAAGUGAAUAAGUGACCUGUAUAUUUAAGUAUAAUUGAUCAUGUUUUAUGAAACAAAAACUAAAUCAUAAAUACUCUUAACACCUUUGAUUAUUAGUAAACAUCAAAACUAAUCUUAUGAUAAAUAUUAAAGAUAAUGCGGCUUCAUAAGAGAGCAUGCAAGAUUUAUAAAGAUUAUUUUAAGGCAUUAGUUGAAGAAAUAUUAAGGGUUGUUUGAAUUUUGUUGAGAGAAUAUGGUGAUUUUGGUGAAGUAUUGGAUAAUUUUGUAGGACAUGCUUUUGAUGAAGAUGAAAGGGGUAUUUUAGACUAAAGCCCACCAAAAUGUCAUAGGCAUUAAAUCCUGUGCAGUUGUCAUAUUUGUAUAAAGUAUGUAUGAUUUUGUCAUAUAAAUAUAAAAUACCACAGAACAGAAUUCUCCGCAGGGUUGAGGCUAGGCUCGACAAAUGUGACAAACCUGUGGUGUGUUUAAUAUUUUUUAUUUUACUAAAUCACUUUGUAUUAGAAAAAGUACAACUCGCAUACACAAAUAUGAUAAACUAUUCAAGAAAAUAUUGGACUAAAUUUUGCUAGGGGCUGCACUCAAAAGAGUACAACACCUCCAAAAAUUGAAGUAUGCCGCUGAAAGUGGCGAGCACACGGUAUUCUUUAGUAAAAGGCGAAAGAAUAGUUCGCUCUGUGCUCACAACACGGCUCCAUAGUAACACUUGCGAAAAUUAUCCAUAUUAUAUACAUCUAUUCUGGUAACUGGCUUGAUAACUUAGCCAUGUGGGACUAUAUGCAUAACUAUAUCUUUUCGCUUGUUAGCUCUUCGAUUAAGCAGAUGACAUGACACUGCACAAUGUUCUAUAUGGAUUCAUAAAUUACAGUCUAUGAAAUGUAUUUAUAGGGUCCGCCUACGUUGCAACAGUUGCAACGUACCACACUUUUUGUCUCCAUUCUAGACAGCCAUUGGAUGUAAACUAAAUGAAUCUAAUGGUUGAAAAUAAAAAGGAGUAAAGGUCUAUAGCCGGUUGUAGACAUGUACUGUAUAAAACUUAUUGAUUCUAGUUAUUUUUUUUGUUUUUUGAAGAAAUACCGACUCUAGUUUGAGAGGCGUCCAUCCAAAGAUUUUGCACACCCCUGCAAUUGAGAUCAUCGAAAUCUUUUCCACCCCCAAAAAAUCCGAUGAUUGAAGUGUUUUUCAUCCCCAGAAAUAGUGAUUAGUUUUGGUGUCUCCCGAUAAAAUCAUAAACGACGUAAGUAAAACUGACGGCCGAUAUAUGACGGUGGCAACUAAUCGGAAAAGAUACUGGGCGGUCGUGUAAGUUUAGGAAUUACAGACAUCGAUUUGCCUCAUAACUUGCCUCAUAAUAGAGUCAAUUUCUCGCGUGCACUGGAUCAAUUAGAAUUUUUUUUUUUUGCAGAAGUUGUCAUUAAUUAAUUUUCUAUUUAUUGCUUUUCUUUUCAUGUUUAAUACCCGAAAUAUGUCUCCUUUGUUGAACUCUCUUUAGCAAGAAUGGCAUCUGAAACUGUAUUUUUCUUCUUCUUCUAUUUGGUUUUAGUUUUUUCUUCUUCUUUUUUUUGGUUUUAGUUUUUUCUUCUCUGAGGAAUUUCGUCAAACAGGUAGCAGGCAUGAAAUAUAUCUAAGCUCUUUUCAACUCAAAUGUAAGAUAACACACAAAAACAUGUUAAUCAUCCAAAUCCUUUCCCCCAGUGCUUUGCAAUUGUGUUCUUACGAUUUUGCUGUCAACGAUGCAAUUAUCAAAUAAAAUCAAUUACACCCAUUGCACAAACAAAUUCGCCAUUUAAUUCAUAUGCCUUACAGACCCACCCCAGGAUGCAACAUACAUGAAUCUUGAAGAUCUUCUCCCCCAACAAAUUGCAACAUAUGUAAGGAAAUCGAUUUAGGUGUUUGUACAUUCUUUCGCAACCACGAGCUGCUAAACCUUAAUUUCUAUUUUCAUAAGAAAUCUGCAUCUAACUGGAUGAUUUUUUGUGGAACUGGCUUCAACGGUUACUGGUUGAUACUGUCUUUAUCACCUACCUAAUUUGAAGCGUUAGAUUUGUUUAGUUUACAUCCAACGGCUGUCUACAAUGGAGACAAAAAGUGUGGUACGUUACCAUAGUGGUAACAUAGGCGGACCCGUAUUUAUAAUACUAAAUUACCUUCUUAUUUUUUUGGGCAGAUUUUAGUCAGUUGUAAUAUAUUUUUUUAGCAUAUUAAAUUUAAAAUAAUAAUAAAGAUACCAGUACACUGACAGAUCGAAACCACUAAAGAAAUCUAUAUCAGGAAUCAGGAUUCCACUUCUUAUCUCUUGCUGGAAGGAUCAUAAACAAUUCCUCAACACCAUACUAUAUGAUAUGUGAUUGUUGCAAAGCAUGAUUAAUUUUCAGUCACUUCCUUUGAUUAAACUUUAAUUCAUACUAAUUAGCCAAUAUCUUUCACUUUGCAUUAGAAAUUAGAUGUCUUGAAGUUUCUAAUUUCAAAGAAAGUGCAAGGUACAAAACAGAACACAAGGCACUAAAUAACGCAUUGAACACCGGCAAACAAGCAAAGAUUGGAACACCAUUUGAUAAUCUAAAUAAGUAAUCCUUGAGUUGGUCAAAUUUUGCUAUAGAAUUGGUAGGGGUACGCCAGGCCCUUGCAAUAGUGCAACGCACGGGCGACGCUCAGGGCACACAGUAGCAAGCUACUGCAUUGAGCCCUCCCCAGGAAAAAUUAAUUUAAUAUCGUGUGGACCGAUGAUCCACAUAUCAGAUAUUAAACUGAUAAGAACAGAUACUACACUUGAUCUUAGCCAAAAGGCCGAGAAAGGUAUGAGUUACUCAAUUUAUCUCCUCUGUUUUUAUAGCUCUGUUUGGCACUCGCUUCUGUUGUUCUAUCGAUGUGGAACAUAAGCAAUUGAGAAGAGAUCACUUGAAUUUUCUGCAUUGAAAUGCAACGUACGGUAUUGGUGAUUAAACAGUUGGUUAGUUCGAGUUCUAGAAAUCAGUGAGAAUAUACUUGUUAACAGAAUUGUGUCAAUAACAGAGCAGCGUCGGGAUCCUGAGUUGUAUUGUACACAAGUUACUGUCAAUUGCCAUUCAAAAAAGAAAAUAAUAUAUAUCAUCAGAAUGCCGGUCCACGCAGCAAUUUUGACACAAACACAAUAUCUUUCACAACUAAAAAUUGCUUCCUUCUCCCAGUCGUGCCAAGAUGCUUGCAUUUCUAUAGAUUGAACCAACCAUCCCCAGUAUUGAAAAGUUAUACUCUUUAUAGCAAGCUUAUGAUCGAAUGUGGCCGUUUAAGGAAAUUGGCUCACGUGUUGGGCAAUUGAGUCGGCAAGUCAAUGACAAGAAAUUUUAAAACUAAAGAAUUGUAGGGCUUUACCCCGGAGGGAGCCCUUCCAGAAAUUCUCGAAGGCCAGGGCUGAACCCAGGCCUAGGAGGGGGUUUGGAAAUAGUUUUCAACCAGCAAUAGACGCGCCUCGGUUAGAACCUCACUAGCUGCGUCAUUGCCCCAAGCGCAAAGAUGCUUUGAGAUUUUGAAUAGCUCUCUUAAUAAAUUGAUUCCAUCACAGUCUAUAUUGCUAUCCGGUCCAUGUGGGACUUAGCUUGUUGUUUGAGGACUUAGCUUGUGCUCAGUCCCAGCUUGUGUUAUUGUGAGUGAAGGGUAUGAUGACUCUCCCAAGCUAAGUUCCACAAGUAACGUCUUUUUUUCUUUUUUUUAAUCCACCAUAACCUAGUCUUUGAUAAAAAAUUUAACCUCGAUUAGAAAGAGCGUAGAUUCAAUUGGUAUUGAGGAAGAGACAUUCGAAUUUAUCAUUAUGGCUGCGUUAUGUUAAGAAACAACUUCUACAUUCUAGUGGGAUGAGGAAACGUCAUCUUUGUGGAAUUAGCAUCAUCUUCGAAAUUGUUAAUUUGUGAACAGGAGCUUCUGUUACCUGUGCCAACGCAGCUGGAGCAGAUUCUGGCAUUGGCAAAAAUGCUUUCGUGGAUCAGAAUUCUUCUGCGUGAAGGGAAAUUGAAAAAAGUGAGAUCCCGGCUGUGAAGUAGCUUCAAAAGUUUUAGAGCCAUCUAGUUUCAGUCAGGAUUAAUUGAGUGGCACACGUAGAGAAGUUCUUUUAGACACAUUUGAAGUAGUAAUCAGUACCAUGUAUUAAUACCAAAAAACCAAAAAGAGAAGGGAAAAAUUGUAGUAGCGAACAUGAGUGUGAAAACCAAUCUCCUUAUAGCAGAAUGAUCAUAUUACAUACAAUGUGAGGGAAAUUGAAUACUCUUGCUGGAAGGAUGGAUCUUUGUGAAUAAUGUUGAAGAUUUGUUUUCAUCACACUAUUUAAGUUCCUAACAAUUCUUUACACCCUCAAAAAGCUUUUAGACAAAUUAUGAGGUAAAUUAUCUUUAUAAGAACUUAAAAUAUGAUUUAUUUACUCUCAAAAUUUUGAUAAAGAUUCGGGGGGGCCCAGAGGUAACAUGUUAAUUGUACAAAACAUAAAAUACGAUUUAUCUUCGCUAAAAUUUCAUUUGGUAUAAGUCAUCAGGCCCUUGCAGUAGUGCAACGCAUGAGCGAGAGACAAGGGGCUCUCCGCAGCAAGCUUUACCCUCAUAUCCCAGAAAACGACCAAAGGUACGAUUUAUUUCGGUCCACAAUAAAACCACACUGCUUAGAUUAAAAAUAAAAAAUAAAAAAUAAAAAUUGAGAUCUCACUUGGUGGGGUGCGCCAGGCCCGUGCUGUAGUGCAACAUAUGGGCGACGCGCAGUGCUCACGGUAGCAAGCUACCGCAUUGAGCACUCCCCUUAAAAAAUUAAUUUAAUAUCGUGUGGAUCGAUGAUCCACAUAUCAGAUAUUAAACUGAUAAGAACAGAUACUACACUUGAUCUUAGCCAAAAGGCCGAGAAAGGUAUGCUUUGCUUCAUAUCUUGGUUCUGCAUUUAUAGCUUUGCUCUGCAUCUUGCGUACGUUGCCCUGUCGAUGUGGGACAGAAUUAACUCCCUGUCAUACCUAGCUCAAGAAAGAAGCUAAUUCUCGAAUCCAUUCAAGAUUAAUUCACAAGUCUUAGUUUCAUACAGAUCUCACUAAACCUAGAGAUUACAUUAAACCUACCAAAUCAAAGAGGGUGGCUACCUGGUUCAAUUUGUUGUUGUUGCACAAUCAAGACAGAGCAUUUGCCGUUAUAAUCUGUUGAUGCAAGCAAAUCUCCAAGAAUACCAAGCCCAGGAAAUUCGCUUCAUUCUUUCAAUCCUGAAGUCUGCGGUGGCGACCCCAAAUUAUAUCUUCUUCCAACAAUAAUCAAAUUAAAUUCAUUCACCAUUGAUCUAAUAACAAUUGCUGUUUCAGGCCCAUCCACAGCCUUCUCAACGUCAUUAGAACACCCAUUAGUUUUAACACUCCUUAAUGACAGAGUAUCCCGCACUUUGUCCUAAUCUUCAAACCCAUCGUCUUUAGCAUUUUGUAAAAUGUACCAUGGUGAGACAAACCCUAGAGUCUUGUGCCAUCCUUUUGCCCAAAGUUCAGGCUUCCCGGUCAUCAGCGCUGCCAAAGAAGACCAUAGCAACAUCAUAUGAUGGUAAUUCAUUUGCAGAUGUAUCUUUACUUUGACGCCUUAAAUUGCCAUGGUCAAUCAAGAUUUUUAUCGAACAAGGAGCUUUUUCAAGGACCUUGGAAUUUAAAAUCCUGAUGCUUUCAUCCUCUGAUUCUUGAGCCAUCAAUGUACCAUCUACGAUGAAAUGGGAGGAUUAUAAGAGAAGCAACCUUGUCCAAUACAAGUGUGCAUACAUCAUCUUGCAUUAAACUCGGAGGAUAUACGGCUGUAAACGUGUUAAUGGAUAAACAUUUUCUAAAUGACACUAAGUAGACAGAGCAUCUCUGUUCUUUUAGUGAGGAAUGAAGAUUGGGGUUGCCUGGCCUCUAAGCUUGACAAGAUGAAGCACAUUACGAGCCAUGGGAUUAACUUUUAUAGGGCAUGCGAUGUCUAAAAAAUUGAUUACUGUUCUCAAAUUGUCUGGAACAUGAAUAGAAGCAACGAUUUGUAGCUCCAAAUGGGGCAUCAAAUCAAUAAUGUUUCGUUUUUUAUUACCUGCAUACUUUUUAAAGGAUCAUAUAGCUUGAUUACUAGCAUAGGCACAAUGCUUGCCGAUAAAAUGCUUAGAAGAAACAUAUAAGAGUACAACUCUCUAUUCAUAACCUGCAUUUUAGUAAAAGAAAACAAAAAUAAGAAAUGUAUAUCAGCAAAGAAUUAGUCCAAACCUUUUCUUCCAAAGUUAUUGGCUUAAAUGUAAUACCCUUUUGUCCGAGAGGAAGCUGAAGAUGCCAAGCUCAAGAACACCUUUACAUCUCAUUAUGGAAGCGAGUGCAAGAGCAUCUUUUGUUGGCAUCUUACUACACAAAGGAGGCAACAAACACACAACAAAUUUCACCACGGAAACGAAGCAGCGAGCAUUACUGCUUGUUAAUGCAUUCUUCUUACCGAAGAUAUUAAUUGUGCUUACUCUCAUCCCAUAAGCAAUCACAAAAAAUGGCAAGAGCAAGUUAUUAUCCGUGCUUUCGAGCUUCUCAAACAAAGCAGACCCAAAUGGCGCCAAGACCAAGAGCAUGUAGUUACCGAACCAUUUGCCUAUACAAACACUAAAGAGAAACAAAUGGGUGAUUAUUGUGGUGAAUAUUGAUUGCCGAGGUUUGCCUUCUGGUGUACAUCUUAUUACCAGUUUCACUGUGGGUCUAAAAACGAAGAAAACAAAGGAAAGAUGGACACUAACAUAAAAUAGUUCUCUCAUAAAUUUUCUAACGCCAUUAGUAUUGCCAUCCUCGCAAAAAUGCUAGCUAUGAUAAAAGUUAGAUCAUUAAUGAUAGCUGAAGAUAGGCCUAUUCGUCUAAGUUCAGAAUCUGUGAUCCUUAAAUUAUUGAGGAGACUAUAGACGGCCGGAGAUGUAGUAGUUGCGUAACCUGGAGAAAUGAAUAAAGUUUUCCAGUGGUUGUCUUGGUCAAGGCCAAGAUACGGAAGGAUUAGUGAGCGACAACUAAAGGCGCUGCCACAGAAAGAAGGCCAGCAUAUAAGGCUCUUUUGCUAGCUCUAAAUAUCAUCCUUGGAUCCAUUUUCACUCCCAUUAAGAAGGGGAAGAAAGCAAAGCCAAAUAUGCCUAUUGUUCCAAGAACUUGUACGCUGCCGUCUGUCAUCAAGCUCUCUGCUAGAUCUUUUGAGAGUAUCGCCGGAGAAAGAAGAAGGCCUAUAGUUCACAAAAAUUAUCACAAUAGCUCAGUUAAAUUGCCCAUCUAAUAACUAAAGCAAAAGCAUAUUUUCAUUAGAACACCAUUUUUUUAAUAUUGGCUGUAGGUUUGGUUGCACAAAUUUUUCUAAUUUUGUUUCUUAACAAAAUAACACACGUUAAGAUAUGAUCCUUAUGGCUCAAAGUUGAAAGAGAAUAAACCAUAGUUUUUAUAACUAUAUAAUACUAAUAACACACACAUAACACAAGAUUUCUAAAAGUUCAUAACAGCUCACAAUACAGAUGAUCUAAACUCUUACCAGGCAUGAGACAUGUUUUUACAAUAAAGAUUCUCAUUUUAUCUGAACUCUUUGAGCAUUUAAAAAAUUUAUGAAAAAUCUCAAACAAGGAGAGAAUCUUAUUAGUGAAUCUUAUAUGCUUUAUAUAUAUAGAUCUUAAUAAUUUGGGAAAUUAGAAUGAUACAGACAGAAGAGGAGGAGACCAAAAGGAAAGGAGCUCAUACAAGAAGCUGUGAGGUGAACAAUGGAAAUCCCCAGCGUUUGAGAAUGAAAUGAUAGGACUAACUAAUGGCAAAGAUUAAAGCUAUGCUCAGCUCAAAUCAUGGCAAUGAAAAAUCCAGCCAAUGAUAAGCUGAAAAUUUUGAUAAAAACUGCUUGCACAAGCCAACCAACUGUACCUUUGGUUGAAAUAUUUGGCAAAUUCACUUGCGUCUUAUCCACCAUUCAUGAGUGGUUCGUUUUUGCUGCGUUUCGUCAAAGAAGAUAGAGAGGAAAUAAAGAGAGAAGAAAAUUUUGAAGAAAGGAGAGAAUGGAUAAUGGAAAAAAUAAAAUAAAAUAAAAAGAAUCAAAGAUACUCAUUAUAAAAUGUUAUUGGUGAUGAUUAUUGGUAUCUAGUGAAAGCUAGCUAGCAAUGAAGGCUGGUUACCGUUUGAUUUUCUUUUUCUGUUUUGUGUGAUUGUUAGUAUAUUAUGUAUUUGUUUAUAUCCAUUGGGUUUUCCUUUUAUGACAAUGCAACUGCUAAUUACCUAAUUAAAACCUCGAGCUUAUAGAUGUAAAUUCUAACCUUUCUAAUUUUGCAGUUAGAUGAAACGUUAUCGAUGAUGAUUUGUCCCAUUAUUAUUAGAACACCAUAAAGAAAUUUUAGUAUUCAUAAACUGAGAUUUAGGUAUGAGCAGGGAAUUUAAACCGAAGAUGGUUGUAGCCAUAUAUUGUUUUGUACAUACUAUUUUCUUGGAUAUUUGAUUGAUUCUUCAAUCCAACUCCAAACUCUACUGCAGUAUAUGAAAUGAUAUUAAACUUUCAUCAUUUAUAAUACAAGUCAAAAACAUUGCCCAAAUGCCAAAAUAUUUAAGAUUACAAAUUUUUUGGGGUAAAAUCAGAAAGUGAUAAAACAAUAAUUAGACGACGUGCGGAUAAAUGAAUACAAUAGGUGACAACAAUCUUCAUGGUGAGACAUUAUGCAUUUAUUUGUGUUAAAAGCUCACGUUAUACUAGUAAUUAAUAUUAAGUUUAAACUAAAUUGAUAGGGAGCUUUACAAGAGUAAAGCUCCUCCAAAAAUUGGAGUAUGCCGCUAAAAGUGGCGAGCACACGGUAUUCUUUAGUAAAAGGCGAAAGAAUAGUUCGCUCUGUGCUCACCACACGGCUCCUUGACAGCAGAUGGCCACUUAUUGCACAUUAUAUUCGCAUGUAGUAGGCGAGGGCUUGAUCUUCUUAGCCAUGUGGGAUUGUCUUCUACUUCUGCAGGCAAAUUAGAAUGUCUACGUAAUUGUAUAUUGCUGGUACUUGAUGGCAUCUGCAUAAAGUCUUGACUGCCCUUUUGUGAAAUUCAGCAGAUGUUAGUUGCUUAUAUAAUCUUCAUUUGUUAAUAAAUAUGCCAUGACAUGACAAUUAAAAUAUACAAGCUGAUGAUGAAAUUGCUGCAGAAAUAAUUUUUAAUCAUACACACUCUUGCAAGGAGGUCAAAAAAUAGUGUUUCGACAACAGAAAACUGAAAUGAUUUAUGAUGGAGCAGAAUAUGGAUAAUGUUUGGUAGCUUGGACUUUCUAUACCAAUUCCUGGUGUUGAUUCACAACAUUUGAGCUUCUUAGUUACAGACAACCGAGUCUCAGUUCAAAUCACCUUAUUCUAUUAGGUACAAUGAUUUGUCCUGCAUCAACUCUCUAUUAUAUCAAAUCAAUAAAUGUGAAUAGUUAAAUGUUUACACAUUUGAAAAUGCUUUUGGAAUUUUCAAACUUGACCUUGAAUUGUGAGUGGCAUUAGGCUCGGGAAUACUGCUAUUCUUGCCUAAUAAUUGUUAAGAACCAACAAUCACAUGAACUUUUAAUAAAAAAAUGUUAGUCUGAUGAACAGAAACUAAAAAUUGUAAGUUGCAAAUGCUAACUAAACGUCGGCUUGAAAGUAAAAGUUAACUGAUUUAAAAUUUUGAUAAAGAUUCAGUAGGAGUGCACCAGGCCCUUGGGCGACCCACAGGCUUGUAUUUCAGUAGCAAGCUACCAGCUCUUAAACCGUACGCGAGAAUUUUAACAUACAAGUAGUAAUACAAAAACAAAGAAAUUUUGAAACUAGGAAUUGCAGGGCUUUACCCCGGAGGGAGCCCUUCCAGAAAUUCUCUUAGGCCAGGGCCGAACCCAGGCCUAAGAGGGGGUUUGGAAAUAGUUUUCAACCAGCAAUAGACGCGCCUCGGUUAGAACCUCACUAGCUGCGUCAUUGCCCCAAGCGCAAAGAUACUUUGGUAUGCUGAUUAACUCUCUUUAAUAUUUUGCUUCCGCUAGGGUCUGCACUGCUAACUCGUCGAUGUGGGACUUCGCUACUAUUCAAGCUUAGUUUUUAGGUUGCAAGUGAAAUAAAAGAUCGAAGUUUCUGCUCUAUGGUGAGUGGAGGAAAAUAUUUGAUGCUUCUUCCAAGCUAAGGUUUGCAUGUCUUAUCUCUUCUUCCGCUUGUAUUUUAGUUUCUUAACCCAAUAGCACAUAUACAGACAUUACAUUGUUUAGAGAAAUCAACACUGGUUCUACUGAAAGAAUGACAACAUUAUUAAGCGAAUUAGUUCUUUAAGAAUGAAGUGGCGUAUGGAAAAGGUCUGUCCUCGUAAAAACGUCACUUUUGCGCAGUUAAAUAGCGUCAUAUUCCAUAAUUGUUAGUUUGUGAAUCGGGCCUCCUGUUACUUGUGCCAAUGCAGUAGCAGCAAAUCCUGGCAUUGACAAAUAUACUUUCGUGGAUCAGAAUUCUUCCUGCAUCAGAGAAAUUGAGGAAGUUGCAUACGUAGAGAAGUUCUGCAUAUUCGUCUACUUGUAGUAUACAGGAGCCCAAAAGUAACACAAUCUUGACUGACUACGAAACCAAUCUCCGUAAUUACAGAAUGAUCACACUAACAAUGCGAGGGAAACUAAAUAAAUCAUGAACUUGCAGCAACGAUCAAUCAAUUAGUAAACUCUUCCGAAAGGGAUCCGAAAAAAUUGGUUUUCACCACACUCCUUACAAUCGGCAUGAAAAAGAUCUAAGUUAUUCAAAAAUCACUUGCAUCAUAAUUUGUUUACUCCAUACUCCAAAAGUUUCGACGUAGAAUUGGUUGGGGUGCGCCAGGCCCGUGCAGUAGUGCAACGCGCUGGCGACGCUCAGGGUUCACAGUAGCAAGCUACUGCACUGAACCCUCCCCUUAAAAAAUUAAUUUAAUAUCGUGUGGAUCGAUGAUCCACAUAUCAGAUAUUAAACUGAUAAGAACAGAUACUACACUUGAUCUUAGCCAAAAGGCCGAGAAAGGUAUGUUUUGUUAAGUGUCUCGAUUCUGUUUUUAUAGCUUCCGUCUGCAACUUGCUUAGGUUGCCCUGUCGAUGUGGGAAAGAAUUUGCUGCAUCUGAUAUAUAAGUUAAGGAGAUCAUGAGAAUGGAUUGUGUGACCUUUCGGCAUUGAGCUGCAAGGUAUUAUCAUGAACUGAUUCAGUUAUUUUAGCAUUUUUAGCCCAUGAGUAAAAAGCCUUUCACUCAACCUUCAACCUUUCGUUGUUGUUGUAACUCACAUUAAGACGAAG